CCUACGGGAGGCAGCAGUAAGGAAUAUUGGGCAAUGGAGGCAACUCUGACCCAGCCAUGCCGCGUGAAGGAUGAAGGCCCUAUGGGUUGUAAACUUCUUUUGUAUGGGAAUAAACGCAGUUACGUGUAACUGUUUGAAUGUACCAUAAGAAUAAGCACCGGCUAACUCCGUGCCAGCAGCCGCGGUAAUACGGAGGGUGCAAGCGUUAUCCGGAUUUAUUGGGUUUAAAGGGAGCGUAGGCGGGAUUGUAAGUCAGUGGUGAAAGCCCGUAGCUCAACUACGGAACUGCCAUUGAUACUGCAGACCUAGAGUACACUUGAAGUGGGCGGAAUGUGUCAUGUAGCGGUGAAAUGCUUAGAUAUGACACAGAACACCAAUUGCGAAGGCAGCUCACUAAAUUGUAACUGACGCUGAGGCUCGAUAGCGUGGGGGAUCAAACAGGAUUAGAUACCCUGGUAGUCCACGCCGUAAACGAUGAUUACUCGAUGUUGGCGAUACACUGUCAGCGUCUGAGCGAAAGCAUUAAGUAAUCCACCUGGGGAGUACGGUCGCGAAGACUGAAACUCAAAUGAAUUGACGG
Molecule: ribosomal RNA, 580 nt
Filed under: uncultured bacterium
Lineage: Bacteria
Description: bacterial SSU rRNA
Rfam family: Bacterial small subunit ribosomal RNA
Source: RNAcentral